GAACUUAAGCAUAUCAAUAAGCGGAGGAAAAGAAACUAACAAGGAUUCCCCUAGUAACGGCGAGUGAAGCGGGAAGAGCUCAAAUUUGUAAUCUGGCACCUUCGGUGUCCGAGUUGUAAUCUCGAGAAGUGUUUUCCGCGCCGGACCGCAUACAAGUCUGUUGGAAUACAGCGUCAUAGUGGUGAGAACCCCGUACCUAAUGCGGAUGCCCGGUGCUUUGUGAUACACUUUCGAAGAGUCGAGUUGUUUGGGAAUGCAGCUCAAAUUGGGUGGUAAAUUCCAUCUAAAGCUAAAUAUUGGCGAGAGACCGAUAGCGAACAAGUACCGUGAGGGAAAGAUGAAAAGCACUUUGGAAAGAGAGUUAACAGUACGUGAAAUUGUUGGAAGGGAAACGCUUGAAGUCAGACUUGCUAUUCGGAAUUCAGCCGCAAGGUGUACUUUUCGAUUUGCAGGCCAGCAUCAGUUUUUGGGGAUGGAAAAGGGCCGGAGGAAGGUAGCAAUUUAGGUUGUGUUAUAGCCUUCGGCUGGAUUCAUCUUUGGGGACUGAGGAACGCAGCGCGCUUUUUGCAAGGCUCUCGAGCUUUCCGCGCUUAGGAUGCUGGUGGAAUGGCUUUAAACGACCCGUCUUGAAACACGGACCAAGGAGUCUAACAUGCUUGCGAGUGUUUGGGUGUCAAACCCGGACGCGCAAUGAAAGUGAAUGGAGGUGGGAUCCGCAAGGUGCACCAUCGACCGAUCUGGAUUUUCUAAGAUGGAUUUGAGUAAGAGCAAUUAUGUUGGGACCCGAAA
Molecule: ribosomal RNA, 789 nt
Filed under: uncultured fungus
Lineage: Eukaryota; Fungi
Description: eukaryotic LSU rRNA
Rfam family: Eukaryotic large subunit ribosomal RNA
Source: RNAcentral